CGGGGGCAACUCCGGUUCAGUGGCAGACGGGUGCGUAACACGUGAGGAACCUGUCCGACGGCGGGGGAUAGCCGGCCCAACGGCCGGGUAAUACCGCAUCCGCUCGCUCGGGGGCAUCCCCGGGCGAGGAAAGCAGCCGCAAGGUUGCUGCCGACGGAGGGUCUCGCGGCCUAUCAGCUUGUUGGCGGGGUAACGGCCCACCAAGGCGACGACGGGUAGCUGGUCUGAGAGGAUGCCCAGCCACAUUGGGACUGAGACACGGCCCAGACUCCUACGGGAGGCAGCAGUGGGGAAUCUUGCGCAAUGGCCGCAAGGCUGACGCAGCGACGCCGCGUGUGGGAUGACGGCCUUCGGGUUGUAAACCACUGUCAGGGGGAACGAAUACCGGGCCGCGAAUAGCGGACCCGGGGUGACGGUACCUCCAAAGGAAGCACCGGCUAACUCCGUGCCAGCAGCCGCGGUAAUACGGAGGGUGCGAGCGUUGUCCGGAAUCACUGGGCGUAAAGGGCGCGUAGGCGGCUCGCUAAAUGAGCUGGUGAAAUCCCGGGGCUCAACUCUGGGGCGGCCGGUCAGACUGACGGGCUCGAGCACGGUUAAAGGCAGAUGGUAAUUCCCGGUGUAGCGGUGGAAUGCGU
This 635-nucleotide ribosomal RNA is filed under the name uncultured bacterium. RNAcentral's name for it is "bacterial SSU rRNA". It matches the Rfam family "Bacterial small subunit ribosomal RNA", at positions 74 to 691 of the family's 1533-position model. The record is from RNAcentral.